UACGAAGGGGGCGAGCGUUGUUCGGAUUUACUGGGCGUAAAGGGCGCGCAGGCGGUUCUGUUUGUCGAGUGUGAAAGCCCCGGGCUCAACCUGGGAACUGCGCUCGAAACGGCGGAACUAGAGUUCGGGAGAGGAGAGUGGAAUUCCCAGUGUAGAGGUGAAAUUCGUAGAUAUUGGGAAGAACACCGGUGGCGAAGGCGACUUCCUGGCCUGUUCUUGACUGCUGAGGCGCGAAAGCUAGGG
Molecule: ribosomal RNA, 243 nt
Filed under: uncultured bacterium
Lineage: Bacteria
Description: partial 16S ribosomal RNA
Rfam family: Bacterial small subunit ribosomal RNA
Source: RNAcentral